Molecule: non-coding RNA, 45 nt
Organism: Schistosoma mansoni
Lineage: Eukaryota; Metazoa; Platyhelminthes; Trematoda; Strigeidida; Schistosomatidae
Source: Rfam
AUCCAGCUGACGAGUCCUAAAUAAGACGAAACGCGCGUCCUGGAU